Molecule: non-coding RNA, 1093 nt
Filed under: synthetic construct
Source: RNAcentral
GUCAGUUGUUAGGAGGAGAGGAGACGGGACUGGGUUCAGAUAUUCAUAUAUGUCCAAAAUGAGCACAGAUUUCCCGGCAGGCCCCACCAGAUGUGCCACUGUGUUAUACUUUGAUGGUGGGAUUGCGGUGGGUAAGACCACCGCCCUGGAGGCUGCUGCUGAGUUUCUGCACAACAUACUUGUGAUCUCAGAACCUAUUCCUUACUGGACUUCCACUUUUGACAAAAAUGUCUGUCAGCAGAUCUACGAUGUGGUCAAGACCAAAGAAAAGGGGAAGAAGCACUCCAAAAAAGUGUUGCAAUGCCAAAUGGCCUUUGCCCAGCCUUUUCAUGCCACCCAGCACCUACUCCGCCGGACGUGUCUAGGUACCAAGGUCUCCGAUGGAACAUGUAACAAUUAUGUGUUGAUUGACAGGCAUAUGGUGUCUCCCACAGUCAUCUUUCCUUGCCUGUUUUUCAGAUUGGGGGUGUUGAGGUUCUGUGAUUUGUUAUCACUAUUGUCUGUGUUUUCAGCACAAAAAUUUGAUAAUGUUGUCUUGUUUAAACUCCAUCCCAAAGUAGCUGCGACCCGAGUCAAGGAGAGGGGGAGAAACCCAGAAGGUGUGAUCAACCACACGUACCUGCAACUCCUCAAUGAAGUAUUGGAUGCCAUUUUUUGUGCCUGGGAACUGUUGGCGAUCGUGCCUCCUGAAGUUAUUGUGGAUGCUAUGCUUUCCCAGACUUCAGUUAAGACUGUGUUUCAGAAGGCUGGCUUUGUUGCACCCAGGGCAAGGCUUAUGGAACAGAUGUUUAGAGAUAGUAUUUUUAAUGACUUGAGAGAAAAUGUGCGUCAGUUGCCACUACAUGGAUCAUCCAUCCCAACCUUGCUACAUAAAUUUUGUUAUGAACUAUCCAAACCACAUAUGGUUAAACUAGAUGCUGGACAGUUUCCUAACGAUGUUCCCGGUUUGUGGACUCACAUAUAUACCCAAAUACUCACAGACCCGGCUAUUAAAACAUGCGACCUGAAAUGGAAUAUCCUAGAAAAGGGCAUAUCUGGUGGAGACCCUCAGUAGUAAUAAAUAGCCAAGCACAAUGGUGACAUGUUUGAAAAA